RNAcentral lists this long non-coding RNA (683 nucleotides) under Rattus norvegicus (Norway rat). Its description in RNAcentral is "long non-coding RNA NONRATT031617". Lineage: Eukaryota; Metazoa; Chordata; Mammalia; Rodentia; Muridae. The record is from RNAcentral.
AGCAUGCAAAUGAUCUGUAUGAUGCCCAGGUUCUUCAGGUUCGAGGGAUCAAGGUCCCCUCAGGUGACAGCCUCCCCCAUCUUGUGAGCAGGGGACUUGCAGCAGCCCUAAGACCACCUCUUCUUUGCUCCUGUGACUUGGUGUUCAAGCUCUCUGGUCACUGACCCUUUGAAGUUUGCAUACUUGUGCGAGAUCCCUGGAUAUAGGAAUCAUGAUCUAUUUCUUUGAACCUACAGCAGCAGGAUUGGAAUCCUGUGAGUCCCUGUUCCUUCAUUGUGUGACAGCGCCCUUUGCAUGUGCUUGUGUUCCCAGGAUUGGAAUGUCACAUGGCACACCAGCAACCCUGACUUUACCAAGUGCUUUCAGAAUACGGUCCUCACAUGGGUGCCUUGUUUCUACCUCUGGUCCUGUUUCCCCCUCUACUUCCUCUAUCUCUCUCGACAUGACCGGGGCUACAUCCAGAUGACACACCUCAACAAAGCCAAAACUGCCUUAGGAUUCUUUCUGUGGAUCAUCUGCUGGGCAGACCUCUUCUACUCUUUCUGGGAAAGAAGUCAGGGAAUGCUCCUAGCCCUGGUACUACUGGUCAGCCCGACACUGCUAGGCAUCACCAUGGUGAGGGUUGGCUGGUGGGGCUGGCAGCAAGAAAUGGAGGAUGUGGGCUGUGGUGUGGCUGAGUGGUA